GGGUUGUGAGGUUAAGCGACUAAGCGUACACGGUGGAUGCCCUGGCAGUCAGAGGCGAUGAAGGACGUGCUAAUCUGCGAAAAGCGUCGGUAAGGUGAUAUGAACCGUUACAGCCGGCGAUGUCCGAAUGGGGAAACCCAGUGUGAUUCGUCACACUAUCGUUAACUGAAUACAUAGGUUAACGAGGCGAACCGGGGGAACUGAAACAUCUAAGUACCCCGAGGAAAAGAAAUCAACCGAGAUUCCCCCAGUAGCGGCGAGCGAACGGGGAGCAGCCCAGAGUCUGAAUCAGCUUGUGUGUUAGUGGAACGGUCUGGAAAGUCCGACGGUACAGGGUGAUAGUCCCGUACACCAAAAUGCACAGGCUGUGAACUCGAAGAGUAGGGCGGGACACGUGGUAUCCUGUCUGAAUAUGGGGGGACCAUCCUCCAAGGCUAAAUACUCCUGACUGACCGAUAGUGAACCAGUACCGUGAGGGAAAGGCGAAAAGAACCCCGGCGAGGGGAGUGAAAAAGAACCUGAAACCGUGUACGUACAAGCAGUGGGAGCACCUUUAGGUGUGACUGCGUACCUUUUGUAUAAUGGGUCAGCGACUUAUAUUCUGUAGCAAGGUUAACCGUAUAGGGGAGCCGCAGGGAAACCGAGUCUUAACUGGGCGUUAAGUUGCAGGGUAUAGACCCGAA
This 683-nucleotide ribosomal RNA is filed under the name Klebsiella aerogenes. RNAcentral describes it as "partial 23S ribosomal RNA". It matches the Rfam family "Bacterial large subunit ribosomal RNA", at positions 1 to 719 of the family's 2925-position model. The record is from RNAcentral. Lineage: Bacteria; Pseudomonadati; Pseudomonadota; Gammaproteobacteria; Enterobacterales; Enterobacteriaceae.